GAGAAAGGUGAUAAAUCAAACACCAAGGGUGAUCUGGGUAAAAGAAGUUGGGUUGAAUGGGCAGUGAGAAAGUUUGUUGGAAAGUUGCCAAAUAAUGGAACAUCCUAUUUCUGGCAAAAUCAGUAACUUGUCUGGUUGUGAGGUUGGCGGGAAGAUCUGGUGGAGAGGGAGGUUGCAUAGUGGGUUUUGAGGACGAAGAGGCCAU
Molecule: long non-coding RNA, 205 nt
Filed under: Ricinus communis (castor bean)
Lineage: Eukaryota; Viridiplantae; Streptophyta; Magnoliopsida; Malpighiales; Euphorbiaceae
Description: long non-coding RNA (RCOM_LNC002863)
Source: RNAcentral